CUGUGCUGCUGUGCAAAGCCUGGCUCAGCCCUGGCAGCUGGGCUGGCAGCUGCCCCCAGCCUGUGCUGGAGCAGUGGCUGAGCCCUGGCCACACUGGCCCAGAGUGGCCCUACUGGCUGGGCACAAGGGCUGAGCCGGGCCUGUCCUCAUCCCUGCCCUCCUCCUCCAGCCCCUGCACUCCCCUCCCUGCCCUGAGUGUUGCUGGAGCCUGAUCCAGCUGUGACUCUGAUCCAGCUGUGAGUGUAUCCCUGCUCCAGGUGUGAGUGUAUCUCUGAUCCAGCUGUGACUGCAGCCCUGCUCCAGGUGUGACUCUGAUCCAGCUGUGAGUGCAGCCAUGCUCCAGGUGUGGCUCUGAUCCAGCUGUGAGUGCAGCCCUGCUCCAAUCUGCAGCUGCUGCCUCAGGAGCAGUUCAUGGCUGAGUGGUGGAGUUGGCUCAGGCAUAACUCAGCCACACCAUUACAGCUCUGCUUGUUUUCCUCCUUCUGCCAUUUUGUUGGUUUAAAUAUCUGAGGUGUCCCCAGCUCAUGUGAAGCCUCUGCUCUCAGAGGGGGACAGGGCAGAACUGCUUUAGGGGAGACCUGGAGCACAGCAGGGCUUGCACCAAAGCUUGGCUGCAGAACUAGGGGAGUCAGGGUUUACCUGCUUGUUAAAAACUCAGCAGUGUCUGGUGUAAGAUCAGUUUCCUGCAGAUUUGUCCCUUCAGGAACAUGCAGGUUCUGUCCAGAUUCCAGGGAAUGGCAGAACAGCACCUGAGGGUGGUCCUCAGGAUGGAUACUUGUUUGUGCUGUUGUAAUUAUUGUUAAUUGGUUGUUAAUGUCAGUCCAGAUUUGUCCAGGAACUAAAAUUGCUCUGGGCUCUGCAGGGCCCUGGCACUUGGACAGCCAACCUGAGGUGCUUGUUCCCCUUCCUGCAGUCCUGAAUGCCAAUGUCCUCACAGCUGAUGUUUAUUCUUGGUUAUUUUUGUGAAUCCUUUGGGCUUUGUUUUAAUGAAAUGAGCUGAAGUUUAGGGUGGGAAGUGUCUGUGCUCACACACAGCAGUCAGAGGUGUCUCUGCACUGUUACCCACAGCCCUGACCAGAACACACCAGGCUGGGAAAUCUGUGUCUUUUUCCAGUCCCUGACCCACCUUAUCGAAGAUUUCCCUGGGAGAGAGGGAGCUGUGGGUGGCCCAGGUGCAGUGAUGCUGUGCUGUGCUGGGUUACCCAUGCAGAGCAGUCUCACUGUGCAGAGCUCACACAGGACAGGUUUGCUGAGGUUUGGCUGAACACUUUGCUUGGCCCCAGCUGUUGCCUCAAGGGUAGUUCUCAGGAAUGUCAUUUCUGUGUGCAUAAACUUUCCCUUUCUUUCCACUAGGCGUGAGAAGGUCAUAUUCCCCACCUUGGUCAUGGGUAAAUGAAUUCAUUUGCACUGGUUGGCUGCAUGUGGUGUAACCUGGGGCUUGGGGCAGAUCUGGGGGCUCUGGUAACUGCACGAGGUAGUUGGUAGUGCCACACACUAAUGGGCCCUGAUCAAAGCCUGAGGCUGCAAUUGCUCUUUCUCCUGACUUGGAAUAAACCUCUCUGCUGCUGUGACCUGUUGCAAACAUAAGCCUGAGUGCUGCUUGCUUCUUCAUCUGUUUAAUACUCCUAGUAAGUGCAUGUUCCUGAUUGAACCAGUCACAGCAGGGUUGCAGGGAAAGUGUGCCUUCAUGGAUGGAGUUCAUUUGGAAGGUUUGCCCUUUGGUUGUGUUUUCCUUCAGCAUUUUGUGGCUCUUGACUUGCUGAAGUGCAGUGGUGUGGUUGUGGCUGACAGGAAAGCAAACAAGGGCACAGGUGCCUGGGAGAUGGCCAGGGGUAGAGCAGGGAGGGGACAGUGUAGGUAGGGACAGCAGUGUCCCUGCUCAGUGUCACUGUCCCUGCCCAGCACAGCCAUGGCAGCUGGAAGCACCUGGGGUAGUUGCAGAGUUGGGCAGUUCCAGAGCUGGACAGUUCCAGCUCUCCAAGUGUGCUUUACCAGCUCCAUUUUCCCCCCAGGCCAGGCUGUUCAGCUCCAGAAGAAUCUUCCACUGAGGAUUUGUUGAGUACUUAGAGCUGAGGGAGUCUUGGGCAUGAAGUGCUGAGUACAAAAUACAGCUUGAAAUGCAGUUUAAUGAGUCCCAAUUAGUAAUCAGGGCACAGACAUGGAUGUGGACACAAAGCCCAUGGCACUGCAGGGACAUUUCCAGCAGGGAGUGCUGCUCCUGGCUCUGGCUGGAGCCUGGUUUCUUGGGAAUCCCAGCACAAGGGCAUGGCACAGGCACCACACAGUGUGCUGGGGUGGUCUGAGGGCCAGGGAAAGGGGGCAGGAGCAGGAGGGGGACCUGGCUGGAGUUAAUCACUGUGGGCAGGAGGCUCCAGACACCUCCCAGAGCUGCCCAAGUCUUUAGAAUUGGAG
Long non-coding RNA from Catharus ustulatus (Swainson's thrush), 2412 nucleotides. RefSeq lists it as uncharacterized. Lineage: Eukaryota; Metazoa; Chordata; Aves; Passeriformes; Turdidae. The transcript has 2 exons. The record is from RefSeq and is a predicted model, not a curated record.